CUGGAUGACAUUAAGCACCUCUCCUGACACUACACCACCCUGUAGCAUCUCUGUGUAUUUAUAUUAUCUCACACCAAACAAAUUGAACACUGAACAGAUUAAACAAAAUAGCCAACAAAUAGCCAGUAGCUGUUCUUGGCUUUUCCUUACCAAUUGUUUUCAUUUCCUUUCUCUCCCACGGAGUCUUUCAUGCUAUCUGGAAGGCUAAUGUAUCUGGAAAAACAAUAACGAAUGCUGCAGAUACUGAGGAUUCAAGAUGUUGUGGAGACUGGCUUAGUUAUGAUUCAAUAUGUAGGCGAGUCACGAUGAGUUAGAGGCUUAGUAGGUGUUGAUGACAUUACAGGGCUCGGAUCAGGAUUAGUCACGAUGAGUUAGAGGCUUAGUAGGUGUUGAUGACAUUACAGGGCUUGGAUCAGGAUUAGACACGAUGAUUUAAGGGUUUAGUAGGUGUUGAUGACAUUACAGGGCUUGGAUCAGGAUUAGUCACGAUGAUUUAAGGGUUUAGUAGGUGUUGAUGACAUUACAGGGCUCGGCUCAGGAUUAGUCAUGAUGAUUUAAGGGUUUAGUAGGUGUUGAUGACAUUACAGGGCUCGGCUCAGGAUUAGUCAUGAUGAUUUAGGGGUUUAGUAUGUAUUGAUGACAUUACAGGGCUCGGCUCAGGAUUAGACACGAGACAGAUUAUGUAAUUAAUUCUUAAGAAAGGUUAGUAAGUACGCUUACACCACGUCACAACAUUAAACAUCUCACAAUAUGACAGAGAUGAUCCAAAUCCCCUCUAGGAGAAAAUACUCAUUUCCACAGUCUUAGUAGAGAGAGAUCUCCUUAUGGAGAUUGUACAAGAGGAAAGGAAUUCUACCAUCACCAAUCGAUUACAAACAGAGAAUCAGGAAACAAAAGGCAGACUCCUAAUCCUUCACACACACACACACACACACACACACACACACACACACACACACACACACACACACACACACACACACACACACACACACACACACACACACACACACACACACACACACACACACACACACAUAGACACAGACACACACACACACACUGAUUGGCCAGCUCCCCAAACAGAUGUCACAAGCCGUUGUUCCAAGCCAACGUUAGUUACACUAAUCCCAAAAGCCCC
This 1141-nucleotide long non-coding RNA is filed under the name Salmo salar (Atlantic salmon). RNAcentral describes it as "lncRNA (ENSSSAG00000090178.1)". The record is from RNAcentral. Lineage: Eukaryota; Metazoa; Chordata; Actinopteri; Salmoniformes; Salmonidae.